This is a non-coding RNA of Culex pipiens (northern house mosquito), 46 nucleotides long. Lineage: Eukaryota; Metazoa; Arthropoda; Insecta; Diptera; Culicidae. The record is from Rfam.
CAAAAGGUUUUUUUUAAAUCUACCUAAAAAUUCUAAAAAUGAUUUU